Molecule: long non-coding RNA, 814 nt
Organism: Rosa chinensis
Lineage: Eukaryota; Viridiplantae; Streptophyta; Magnoliopsida; Rosales; Rosaceae
Exons: 5
Source: RefSeq, a predicted model, not a curated record
GUGGAUAUAGGUGCCAAAAUUAAACUUGGUUUUUAGGUUUUUGGGUUCAGAAACUUCGGACUCCCUCAAUCUCUCAGACUCUCAGAAUCUCAUCCCUCUCUCUCCGACUCUCAGACUCACUCUCCCCCAAUCUCCUCCGCAAAUGAUGGUCAACGGCAUGGGCACAGUGGCCCGAAGACACAUCAAUCUUCUCUCAAUCUAUCCUCGAAUCUGAUUCCGGUCCGACCCUCUCCUCGAACCCAAUCUGGCCGAAUUGUUGUGUAUCAAUUUGCCAACCGCAGUUUCAAAUUGGAUUGAAGCUUGAGCUUCAACCAGGUGACACUAACUUUAUAAUUCUUUGGAGACUUUGAAGAAAAAAAAAAGAAUUUUAGCAGAGUAGAGAGAACCCAAUGAUAGUUUUGCUCCACUGGUUGCCACAACUUCCUUUCUCUGCUGCUUUGUAAAGAAAAUCCAAACUCCCAAGUCAAGAUGAGUUUGGCUAUCAAUCAUUGCGGCGGUUACAGCAUUAAUAAGUCUGCUGCAACGUUUUGUUAAAACAAGGGGAUUUGUCAAAACAAUGAGUCCUAUCAAGUAUCGGCUGCUGCAACGUCCAAGGUUUAUGAGUUAGCAAUUGAAUAUGGCUCAUCAAGGCAAAGAAGCUUUUCAAUCACCUCAAUAACUCAGAUUAUGUAGGUCAUGAUACUGAGCCUACCGAGCGUCAGCAUUAUGUAUUUUAAUUUUUGAAUGUUUUUGUAUUUUCAAGAUUGGUGAAGUUGUAUGAAAUGUAUAGAAAUAAUGUGAAAAAAAACAUAUGAAAUUAUGAUUUAUAUGGCUU